RNAcentral lists this ribosomal RNA (398 nucleotides) under uncultured bacterium. RNAcentral describes it as "bacterial SSU rRNA". It matches the Rfam family "Bacterial small subunit ribosomal RNA", at positions 27 to 419 of the family's 1533-position model. The record is from RNAcentral.
GGACGAACGCUGGCGGCGCGCUUAACACAUGCAAGUCGAGCGAGAACCAGGGCUUCGGCCCUGGGGAAAGCGGCGAACGGGUGAGUAACACGUGAGUAACCUGUCCUCGGCACCGGGAUAGCCCGGGGAAACCGGAUUAAUACCGGAUGGCCUUUCGAGUCUUCGGGCUCGUCAGAAAAGGGAGCUUCGGCCUCCGGCCGAGGAGGGACUCGCGGCGGAUUAGCUUGUUGGUGGGGUAACGGCUCACCAAGGCGACGANCCGUAGCUGGUCUGAGAGGACGAUCAGCCACACUGGGACUGAGACACGGCCCAGACUCCUACGGGAGGCAGCAGUGGGGAAUCUUGCGCAAUGGGCGAAAGCCUGACGCAGCGACGCCGCGUGCGGGAAGAAGGCCUUC